Molecule: ribosomal RNA, 1392 nt
Filed under: uncultured bacterium
Lineage: Bacteria
Description: 16S ribosomal RNA
Rfam family: Bacterial small subunit ribosomal RNA
Source: RNAcentral
AGAGUUUGAUCCUGGCUCAGGAUGAAUGCUGGCGGCGUGCUUAACACAUGCAAGUCGAGCGAAGCACUUAUCAUUGAAUCUUCGGAGGAUUUGAUAUUUGACUGAGCGGCGGACGGGUGAGUAACGCGUGGGUAACCUGCCUCAUACAGGGGAAUAACAGUUAGAAAUGGCUGCUAAUGCCGCAUAAGCGCACAGGACCGCAUGGUCUGGUGUGAAAAACUGAGGUGGUAUGAGAUGGACCCGCGUCUGAUUAGGUAGUUGGUGGGGUAACGGCCUACCAAGCCGACGAUCAGUAGCCGGCCUGAGAGGGUGAACGGCCACAUUGGGACUGAGACACGGCCCAAACUCCUACGGGAGGCAGCAGUGGGGAAUAUUGCACAAUGGGGGAAACCCUGAUGCAGCGACGCCGCGUGAGUGAAGAAGUAUUUCGGUAUGUAAAGCUCUAUCAGCAGGGAAGAGAAUGACGGUACCUGACUAAGAAGCACCGGCUAAAUACGUGCCAGCAGCCGCGGUAAUACGUAUGGUGCAAGCGUUAUCCGGAUUUACUGGGUGUAAAGGGAGCGUAGACGGAUGGGCAAGUCUGAUGUGAAAACCCGGGGCUCAACCCCGGGACUGCAUUGGAAACUGUUCAUCCAGAGUGCUGGAGAGGUAAGUGGAAUUCCUAGUGUAGCGGUGAAAUGCGUAGAUAUUAGGAGGAACACCAGUGGCGAAGGCGGCUUGCUGGGCCGUAACUGACGCUGAGGCGCGAAAGCGUGGGGAGCAAACAGGAUUAGAUACCCUGGUAGUCCACGCCGUAAACGAUGAGUACUAGGUGUUGGGGGUUUCGAUACCUUCGGUGCCGCAGUUAACACAAUAAGUACUCCGCCUGGGGAGUACGGUCGCAAGACUGAAACUCAAAGGAAUUGACGGGGGCCCGCACAAGCGGUGGAGCAUGUGGUUUAAUUCGACGCAACGCGAAGAACCUUACCAAGACUUGACAUCCUGUUGACCGUUCGGGUAAUGCCGAACCUCUCUUCGGAGCAACAGAGACAGGUGGUGCAUGGUUGUCGUCAGCUCGUGUCGUGAGAUGUUGGGUUAAGUCCCGCAACGAGCGCAACCCUUAUCCUUAGUAGCCAGCAGUAAGAUGGGCACUCUAGGGAGACUGCCAGGGAUAACCUGGAGGAAGGUGGGGACGACGUCAAAUCAUCAUGCCCCUUAUGAUUUGGGCUACACACGUGCUACAAUGGCGUAAACAAAGGGAAGCGAAGCCGCGAGGUGAAGCAAAUCCCAAAAAUAACGUCCCAGUUCGGAUUGUAGGCUGCAACUCGCCUGCAUGAAGCUGGAAUCGCUAGUAAUCGCGGAUCAGAAUGCCGCGGUGAAUGCGUUCCCGGGCCUUGCACUCACCGCCCGUCA